CCUACGGGAGGCAGCAGUGAGGAAUAUUGGUCAAUGGGCGCGAGCCUGAACCAGCCAAGUCGCGUGAGGGAGGACGGCCCUACGGGUUGUAAACCUCUUUUGCCGGGGAGCAACGGGCGUCACGUGUGGCGCCACUGAGAGUACCCGGAGAAAAAGCAUCGGCUAACUCCGUGCCAGCAGCCGCGGUAAUACGGAGGAUGCGAGCGUUAUCCGGAUUUAUUGGGUUUAAAGGGUGCGUAGGCGGAAUGCUAAGUCAGGGGUAAAAUUGAGGGGCUCAACCCCUUCCCGCCGUUGAAACUGGCGCUCUUGAGUGGAAGAGAAGUAUGCGGAAUGCGUGGUGUAGCGGUGAAAUGCAUAGAUAUCACGCAGAACCCCGAUUGCGAAGGCAGCAUGCCGGCUUCCGACUGACGCUGAAGCACGAAAGCGUGGGGAUCGAACAGGAUUAGAUACCCGGGUAGUC
RNAcentral lists this ribosomal RNA (460 nucleotides) under uncultured bacterium. RNAcentral's name for it is "partial 16S ribosomal RNA". It matches the Rfam family "Bacterial small subunit ribosomal RNA", at positions 338 to 795 of the family's 1533-position model. The record is from RNAcentral.